This 473-nucleotide ribosomal RNA is filed under the name uncultured Rothia sp. Its description in RNAcentral is "bacterial SSU rRNA". It matches the Rfam family "Bacterial small subunit ribosomal RNA", at positions 27 to 508 of the family's 1533-position model. Lineage: Bacteria; Bacillati; Actinomycetota; Actinomycetes; Micrococcales; Micrococcaceae. The record is from RNAcentral.
GGACGAACGCUGGCGGCGUGCUUAACACAUGCAAGUCGAACGAUGAAGCCUAGCUUGCUAGGUGGAUUAGUGGCGAACGGGUGAGUAAUACGUGAGUAACCUACCUUUAACUCUGGGAUAAGCCCGGGAAACUGGGUCUAAUACCGAAUACGACCAAUCUCCGCAUGGGGUGUUGGUGGAAAGCGUUAUGUAGUGGUUAUAGAUGGGCUCACGGCCUAUCAGCUUGUUGGUGAGGUAAUGGCUUACCAAGGCGACGACGGGUAGCCGGCCUGAGAGGGUGACCGGCCACACUGGGACUGAGACACGGCCCAGACUCCUACGGGAGGCAGCAGUGGGGAAUAUUGCACAAUGGGCGCAAGCCUGAUGCAGCGACGCCGCGUGAGGGAUGACGGCCUUCGGGUUGUAAACCUCUGUUAGCAUCGAAGAAGCGAAAGUGACGGUAGGUGCAAAGAAAGCGCCGGCUAACUACGUGC